Molecule: ribosomal RNA, 253 nt
Filed under: uncultured bacterium
Lineage: Bacteria
Description: partial 16S ribosomal RNA
Rfam family: Bacterial small subunit ribosomal RNA
Source: RNAcentral
UACGUGAGGGGCUAACGUUGUUCGGUGUCACUGGGCUUAAAGGGUGCGUAGGUGGUUGCGUAAGUAACGUGUGAAAUCCCUCGGCUUACCCGGGGAAUUGCAUGGUAUACUGCGUGACUUGAGGUCUAAAGGGGAAAAGGGAACUCCAGGUGUAGCGGUGAAAUGCGCAGAUAUCUGGGGGAAGGCCGGCGGCGAAGGCGCUUUUCUGGUUAGAUCCUGACACUGAGGCACGAAAGCGUGGGGAGCAAACAGG